AGAGUUUGAUCCUGGCUCAGGACGAACGCUGGCGGCGUGCCUAAUACAUGCAAGUCGAGCGAAUGACGAGGAGCUUGCUCCUCUGAUUUAGCGGCGGACGGGUGAGUAACACGUGGGCAACCUGCCCUGUAGACCGGAAUAACCUCGGGAAACCGGAGCUAAUACCGAAUGAUACCGAGAGGUCAAAGGAGCAAUUCGCUCUAGGAGGGGGUCGCGGCUGAUUAGCUAGUUGGUAGGGUAAUGGCCUACCAAGGCGACGAUCAGUAUCCGGCCUGAGAGGGCGCACGGACACACUGGAACUGAAACACGGUCCAGACUCCUACGGGAGGCAGCAGUGGGGAAUUUUGCACAAUGGGGGAAACCCUGAUGCAGCAACGCCGCGUGGAGGAUGAAGGUCUUUGGAUUGUAAACUCCUUUCGAUCGGGACGAUUAUGACGGUACCGGAAGAAGAAGCACCGGCUAACUCUGUGCCAGCAGCCGCGGUAAUACAGAGGGUGCAAGCGUUGUUCGGAAUUAUUGGGCGUAAAGGGCGCGUAGGCGGUGCGGUAAGUCUGUGGUGAAAUCUCCUGGCUCAACUGGGAGGCUGCCAUGGAAACUGCCGUGCUUGAGUGUGGGAGAGGUGAGUGGAAUUCCCGGUGUAGCGGUGAAGUGCGUAGAUAUCGGGAGGAACACCUGUGGCGAAAGCGGCUCACUGGACCACAACUGACGCUGAGGCGCGAAAGCUAGGGGAGCAAACAGGAUUAGAUACCCUGGUAGUCCUAGCCCUAAACGAUGAUCGCUUGGUGUAGCAGGUACCCAAUC
RNAcentral lists this ribosomal RNA (801 nucleotides) under uncultured bacterium. RNAcentral describes it as "bacterial SSU rRNA". It matches the Rfam family "Bacterial small subunit ribosomal RNA", at positions 8 to 838 of the family's 1533-position model. The record is from RNAcentral.